RNAcentral lists this transfer RNA (688 nucleotides) under Halomonas cupida. Lineage: Bacteria; Pseudomonadati; Pseudomonadota; Gammaproteobacteria; Oceanospirillales; Halomonadaceae. The record is from RNAcentral.
CCUUUCGGCAUCAGGCUGGCGACCUUCUCGGCCAGUUGGAAGGCCAGCGGAUGCGAGACCUGGAAGCUCGGAGCGUAGUCGAGACAGCCCAACUGAUGGGCGACGGCGUCACGGAUCUGCUGGCGAUUAUGGCCAGCGCCGCAAGUCCACAGGCCCGACAGCGAGUCGAAGAUGCGCCGGCCCUGGUCAUCGAUGAAGUAACGUCCCUCGGCACCAGCGAUCAUGCGCGGGUUGGCAUGAAAGUCGCGAUUGGCGGUGAAGGGCAUCCAGUAAUGUUGGUUGAGCUGAGAACCGUGCUGUUCACGGCUCCCGGCUUCCGGGGUGUCGAAGGCCUGCAUGACGUAUCUCCUGUGAAGUGCCUGCAAUGGAAACACUGUUGAGUGACGGCUCGCGCGGCAUCAUCAACGUGUCCCGCUGAGCAUGGUUCACAGCAUGGGUCAGGAAUCAGGUUGGUAAAAUCAAAUGUUACUUGCGCUUGGGUGAGUAUCUAUAAACGUAACCGAAUACGCCCUUCAGGGCGUAUUCUCCAGGAGCAAGCGUGGCGAGAGGGCCGUCCGAUCCAGGCGCAGCUCGAGUAUCGCGGGUCGGCCCGCCUGACGAGCGCGAGCCAGGGCUGGCGCGAUAUCGCCGUCGUCGCAUACCACCUCACCGUAGCCACCAUAGGCCUGCGCCAGAGCGGCAAAAUCCG